This 468-nucleotide ribosomal RNA is filed under the name uncultured bacterium. RNAcentral's name for it is "partial 16S ribosomal RNA". It matches the Rfam family "Bacterial small subunit ribosomal RNA", at positions 28 to 507 of the family's 1533-position model. The record is from RNAcentral.
GACGAACGCUGGCGGCGUGCUUAACGCACGCAAGUCGAACGGAAAGGCCCUGCUUUUGUGGGGUGCUCGAGUGGCGAACGGGUGAGUAACACGUGAGUAACCUGCCCUUGACUUUGGGAUAACUUCAGGAAACUGGGGCUAAUACCGGAUAGGAGCUCCUGCUGCAUGGUGGGGGUUGGAAAGUUUCGGCGGUUGGGGAUGGACUCGCGGCUUAUCAGCUUGUUGGUGGGGUAGUGGCUUACCAAGGCUUUGACGGGUAGCCGGCCUGAGAGGGUGACCGGCCACAUUGGGACUGAGAUACGGCCCAGACUCCUACGGGAGGCAGCAGUGGGGAAUAUUGCACAAUGGGCGGAAGCCUGAUGCAGCAACGCCGCGUGCGGGAUGACGGCCUUCGGGUUGUAAACCGCUUUCGCCUGUGACGAAGCGUGAGUGACGGUAAUGGGUAAAGAAGCACCGGCUAACUACGUG